RNAcentral lists this ribosomal RNA (429 nucleotides) under Bacteroidota bacterium. RNAcentral describes it as "Bacteroidetes bacterium partial 16S ribosomal RNA". It matches the Rfam family "Bacterial small subunit ribosomal RNA", at positions 355 to 776 of the family's 1533-position model. Lineage: Bacteria; Pseudomonadati; Bacteroidota. The record is from RNAcentral.
UAGGGAAUCUUCCGCAAUGGACGCACGUCUGACGGAGCAACGCCGCGUGAGUGAAGAAGGAUUUCGGUUCGUAAAACUCUGUUGUUAGAGAAGAACAGCGCAUAGAGUAACUGUUAUGCGUGUGACGGUAUCUAACCAGAAAGCCACGGCUAACUACGUGCCAGCAGCCGCGGUAAUACGUAGGUGGCAAGCGUUGUCCGGAUUUAUUGGGCGUAAAGCGAGCGCAGGCGGUCAAUUAAGUCUGAUGUGAAAGCCCCCGGCUCAACCGGGGAGGGUCAUUGGAAACUGGUUGACUUGAGUGCAGAAGAGGAGAGUGGAAUUCCAUGUGUAACGGUGAAAUGCGUAGAUAUAUGGAGGAACACCAGUGGCGAAGGCGACUCUCUGGUCUGUAACUGACGCUGAGGCUCGAAAGCGUGGGUAGCAAACAGG